Nematostella vectensis (starlet sea anemone) is the source of this 887-nucleotide long non-coding RNA. RefSeq lists it as uncharacterized. The transcript is spliced from 2 exons. The record is from RefSeq and is a predicted model, not a curated record. Lineage: Eukaryota; Metazoa; Cnidaria; Anthozoa; Actiniaria; Edwardsiidae.
UUAUUCGCGGAAUACAAUAUUCAAUAAAAAUUGGGAAUGCAUUUUUGGUUAUUUUAUUAAGAAAUCGCUGACAAAGUAUCCUAAUUCCCGUGGUUCAUACUUUGAAAAGAUACCAGGAAUAAACUUGAACAGAGUCAACGACGCAUGAGCUGGUUUCCGAACGUGGUCCAAUCAAAAUAAGAAUGUGAAUAAUAUCCCUUGUCUGCGGCCCAAUUGGCCGGGGGGACAUUAACCUUUCAAGGAGCCAGAGAACGUCUCACCGAAGAUGGCGCCAAAAGUACUCCUGCUGUAGUGACGAACUUUUGCGGGAUUACAGGAAGGAAGGGAAAGAGGGAUAUCACUCACUAUAAACAACUCACCAAUUCACCAAAAAAAAUGGCUUAAUUAAUAACAAUAAUACAAUAGAAUAAACAAUAGAACAAAUUCUCGCGCUUUUUCGCGCGCGCAAAUGUGCAACAUUAUUUUGGUUCAAAAAUGCCAAGCACAUGUGAUUCCAGGAUUGUUUUAAUUGAUGGAUGCAGGGGCUCAUAUGAAUCAGGCGACUUCAAAGGGAGCGAAAAAGGCCUGACAUUAACACAGGUUCGAUUCCGAGGUCAUUUUUGUGAGCCUGUGAAUUGGGAAGAUGAAGACCCUCAGCUUAGUUUAUAAUGACGCUACCUGAAGUUCAAGAUCGCGGGCUCGUGGUCCCAGGCUUCUUCUCAUAGGCCAAGGCGACAAAGCGCGAAAAGCACCCUGGGUAGGAGAACAAACAUCUGAUACGAAAAUUACGUACGGUAUCUUUAAUCUAAAAAUGUAUUAAACGAUAGAACUACAGACUUAUGCCCAAUCAUAAUUGAUUCGGCGAUAACUGUACUGCUAAGCAUUUGAUGAUUUCAAAAGUUCUUAAA